This 421-nucleotide ribosomal RNA is filed under the name uncultured bacterium. RNAcentral describes it as "bacterial SSU rRNA". It matches the Rfam family "Bacterial small subunit ribosomal RNA", at positions 356 to 774 of the family's 1533-position model. The record is from RNAcentral.
GAGGAAUAUUGGUCAAUGGGUGCAAGCCUGAACCAGCCAUCCCGCGUGAAGGACGACUGCCCUAUGGGUUGUAAACUUCUUUUGUAUAGGGAUAAACCUACCCUCGUGAGGGUAGCUGAAGGUACUAUACGAAUAAGCACCGGCUAACUCCGUGCCAGCAGCCGCGGUAAUACGGAGGGUGCAAGCGUUAUCCGGAUUUAUUGGGUUUAAAGGGUCCGUAGGCGGACUUAUAAGUCAGUGGUGAAAGCCUGUCGCUUAACGAUAGAACUGCCAUUGAUACUGUAAGUCUUGAGUAUAUUUGAGGUAGCUGGAAUAAGCAGUGUAGCGGUGAAAUGCAUAGAUAUUACUUAGAACACCAAUUGCGAAGGCAGGUUACCAAGAUAUAACUGACGCUGAGGGACGAAAGCGUGGGGAGCGAACA